AGCAGCGUGGCUCAGUGGAAAGAGCCCGGGCUUGGGAGUCAGAGAUCGUGGGUUCGAAUCCCGGCUCUGCCA
RNAcentral lists this transfer RNA (72 nucleotides) under Ornithorhynchus anatinus (platypus). It matches the Rfam family "tRNA". From Rfam's summary of the family: Transfer RNA (tRNA) molecules are approximately 80 nucleotides in length. Their secondary structure includes four short double-helical elements and three loops (D, anti-codon, and T loops). The record is from Rfam by way of RNAcentral. Lineage: Eukaryota; Metazoa; Chordata; Mammalia; Monotremata; Ornithorhynchidae.